UGAUAAUGUAAGAAUAACAAUAGGAUCAAGAACCUCAACUUCAAGUACUGUAAUGCAUGGAUUUAUCUUAGAAAUAUCUAAAGAGGGAAAUACAUCAACUAAGCAUGGCAGGCCUAUCUUCUCUCUGUUAAUGGGUUCAUCACUGCUUGCAUUUCUUCCAGUGUUCUUCCCUUAGUUUCAGGUACUAUCUUUGCAACAAACAGAACAGUCAAGCCAGAAACACUGGAGAAUAAGAAAAAUGUUCAAUCAAACCAAAAAACACCAAAA
This 267-nucleotide unclassified non-coding RNA is filed under the name Hevea brasiliensis (rubber tree). The record is from RNAcentral. Lineage: Eukaryota; Viridiplantae; Streptophyta; Magnoliopsida; Malpighiales; Euphorbiaceae.